Molecule: ribosomal RNA, 459 nt
Filed under: uncultured bacterium
Lineage: Bacteria
Description: partial 16S ribosomal RNA
Rfam family: Bacterial small subunit ribosomal RNA
Source: RNAcentral
CCUACGGGGGGCAGCAGUGAGGAAUAUUGGUCAAUGGUCGGGAGACUGAACCAGCCAAGCCGCGUGAGGGAUGAAGGUACAGAGUAUCGUAAACCUCUUUUGUCAGGGAACAAAGGCGGGGACGUGUCCCCGGAUGAGUGUACCUGAAGAUAAAGCAUCGGCUAACUCCGUGCCAGCAGCCGCGGUAAUACGGAGGAUGCGAGCGUUAUCCGGUUUUAUUGGGUUUAAAGGGUGCGCAGGCCGUUUGUUAAGUCAGCGGUAAAAGCCCGGGGCUCAACCCCGGCCCGCCGUUGAAACUGGCAGUCUCGAGUUGGAGAGAAGUAUGCGGAAUGCGCGGUGUAGCGGUGAAAUGCAUAGAUAUCGCGCAGAACUCCGAUUGCGAAGGCAGCAUGCCGGCUCCACACUGACGCUGAGGCACGAAAGCGUGGGUAUCGAACAGGAUUAGAUACCCGAGUAGUC